RNAcentral lists this ribosomal RNA (550 nucleotides) under Puccinia sp. BRIP 58451. RNAcentral's name for it is "eukaryotic LSU rRNA". The stretch from base 201 to 354 matches the Rfam family "5.8S ribosomal RNA". Lineage: Eukaryota; Fungi; Basidiomycota; Pucciniomycetes; Pucciniales; Pucciniaceae. The record is from RNAcentral.
CAUUAUUUAAACAAAAGGAGUGCACUUAAUUGUGGCUCCAAACCUUUUUAUAAUUCAACCCUAACACUUGUUUGUGUGGCCAUUUUUGGUCAUAGCACUCAGGUAAAAGUAACACUUUUGUGUUACAUUAUCCCCCCACCCUCCUUUUUUUUUUUUAACACCAGUUUUGAAUUGAGAAUGUAAAUUUAUUAUUUUGAAAUAACUUUUAACAAUGGAUCUCUAGGCUCUCAUAUCGAUGAAGAACACAGUGAAAUGUGAUAAGUAAUGUGAAUUGCAGAAUUCAGUGAAUCAUUGAAUCUUUGAACGCACCUUGCACCUUUUGGUAUUCCAAAAGGUACACCUGUUUGAGUGUCAUGAAAAUCUCUCAUCAAAUUAAUUUUUGGUGGAUGUUGAGUGCUGCUGCUAUCUAGCUCACUUUAAAUAUAUAAGUCUUUUGACAUUUGUUGGAUUGACUUGGUGUAAUAAUUCUUUUUCAUCAAGGAAAGUAGCAAUACUUGCCAGCAAUGUGGAAAAUGGACUCCUAAAUUGAUUUUAUAUCUUUAUCUUUUUA